GUUAGGAAUCUUCCACAAUGGGGGCAACCCUGAUGGAGCAACACCGCGUGCUGGAUGAAGGCCUUCGGGUCGUAAACAGCUUUUGUAUACGAAGAAUAUGACGGUAAUAUACGAAUAAGGGUCGGCUAACUACGUGCCAGCAGCCGCGGUCAUACGUAGGACCCAAGCGUUAUCCGGAGUGACUGGGCGUAAAGAGUUGCGUAGGCGGCUUAUUAAGCGAGUAGUGAAAUCUGGUGGCUCAACCAUCAACACAUUGCUCGAACUGAUAGGCUUGAGAAUGGUAGAGGUAGUUGGAAUUUCUUGUGUAGGAGUGAAAUCCGUAGAUAUAAGAAGGAACACCAAUGGCGUAGGCAGGUUACUGGGCCAUUUCUGACGCUAAGGCACGAAAGCGUGGGGAGCGAACCGGAUUAGAAACCCGUGUAGUCC
Molecule: ribosomal RNA, 426 nt
Filed under: uncultured bacterium
Lineage: Bacteria
Description: partial 16S ribosomal RNA
Rfam family: Bacterial small subunit ribosomal RNA
Source: RNAcentral